This 832-nucleotide ribosomal RNA is filed under the name uncultured Bacteroidota bacterium. RNAcentral's name for it is "bacterial SSU rRNA". It matches the Rfam family "Bacterial small subunit ribosomal RNA", at positions 121 to 956 of the family's 1533-position model. Lineage: Bacteria; Pseudomonadati; Bacteroidota. The record is from RNAcentral.
GCAAUCUGCCUUUCACAGAGGGAUAGCCCAGAGAAAUUUGGAUUAAUACCUCAUAGUAUUAUAGAAUGGCAUCAUUUUAUAAUUAAAGUCACAACGGUGAAAGAUGAGCAUGCGUCCCAUUAGCUGGUUGGUAAGGUAACGGCUUACCAAGGCAACGAUGGGUAGGGGUCCUGAGAGGGAGAUCCCCCACACUGGUACUGAGACACGGACCAGACUCCUACGGGAGGCAGCAGUGAGGAAUAUUGGUCAAUGGACGCAAGUCUGAACCAGCCAUGCCGCGUGCAGGAUGACGGUCCUAUGGAUUGUAAACUGCUUUUGUACGAGAAGAAACACUGCUUCGUGAAGCAGCUUGACGGUAUCGUAAGAAUAAGGAUCGGCUAACUCCGUGCCAGCAGCCGCGGUAAUACGGAGGAUCCAAGCGUUAUCCGGAAUCAUUGGGUUUAAAGGGUCCGUAGGCGGUUUAGUAAGUCAGUGGUGAAAGCCCAUCGCUCAACGGUAGAACGGCCAUUGAUACUGCUGAACUUGAAUUAUUAGGAAGUAACUAGAAUAUGUAGUGUAGCGGUGAAAUGCUUAGAGAUUACAUGGAAUACCAAUUGCGAAGGCAGGUUACUACUAAUUGAUUGACGCUGAUGGACGAAAGCGUGGGGAGCGAACAGGAUUAGAUACCCUGGUAGUCCACGCCGUAAACGAUGGAUACUAGCUGUUGGGCGCAAGUUCAGUGGCUAAGCGAAAGCGAUAAGUAUCCCACCUGGGGAGUACGUUCGCAAGAAUGAAACUCAAAGGAAUUGACGGGGGCCCGCACAAGCGGUGGAGCAUGUGGUUUAAUUCGAUG